RNAcentral lists this ribosomal RNA (468 nucleotides) under uncultured bacterium. RNAcentral's name for it is "partial 16S ribosomal RNA". It matches the Rfam family "Bacterial small subunit ribosomal RNA", at positions 28 to 507 of the family's 1533-position model. The record is from RNAcentral.
GACGAACGCUGGCGGCGUGCUUAACACAUGCAAGUCGAACGGAAAGGCCCUGCUUUUGUGGGGUGCUCGAGUGGCGAACGGGUGAGUAACACGUGAGUAACCUGCCCUUGACUUUGGGAUAACUUCAGGAAACUGGGGCUAAUACCCGAUAGGAGCUCCUGCUGCAUGGUGGGGGUUGGAAAGUUUCGGCGGUUGGGGAUGGACUCGCGGCUUAUCAUCUUGUUGGUGGGGUAGUGGCUUACCAAGGCUUUGACGGGUAGCCGGCCUGAGAGGGUGACCGGCCACAUUGGGACUGAGAUACGGCCCAGACUCCUACGGGAGGCAGCAGUGGGGAAUAUUGCACAAUGGGCGGAAGCCUGAUGCAGCAACGCCGCGUGCGGGAUGACGGCCUUCGGGUUGUAAACCGCUUUCGCCUGCGACGAAGCGUGAGUGACGGUAAUGGGUAAAGAAGCACCGGCUAACUACGUG